This 73-nucleotide transfer RNA is filed under the name Schistosoma japonicum. It matches the Rfam family "tRNA". Rfam says of the family: Transfer RNA (tRNA) molecules are approximately 80 nucleotides in length. Their secondary structure includes four short double-helical elements and three loops (D, anti-codon, and T loops). Lineage: Eukaryota; Metazoa; Platyhelminthes; Trematoda; Strigeidida; Schistosomatidae. The record is from Rfam by way of RNAcentral.
GGCCUAGUGGUCUAGGGGUAUGAUACUCGCUUCGGGUGCGAGUGGUCCCGGGUUCAAAUCCCCGGCUAGGCCC